GAUUUAAGAUUAUGUGUGCUUAAUGGAUUGUGCAUGUAGUUAUAAUUGUUCCAGGAAAACUAAGCAAAUAUAGGACCGUACCGAAAACCGACACAGGUGGACAGGUGUUAAUGUACCAAGGCGUUUGGAAGAAUGAUGUUGAAGGAACUCGGCAAAAUACUCUCGUAACUUCGGGAAAAGAGAGACUUUAUUGUGGGCAACCACAGUUGAGUGGCACAGAAAUGAGGGUGGCGACUGUUUACCAAAAACACAGGACUAUGCUUAACUCCAAAAGAGGAUGUAUAUAGUCUGACGCCUGCCCAGUGCUAGAAGGUUAAUAGGAGAUGUGCAAGCAUUGAAUGGAAGCCCUAGUAAACGGCGGCCGUAACCGUAACGGUCCUAAGGUAGCGAAAUUCCUUGUCAGGUAAGUUCUGACGCGCAUGAAUGGCGUAACGACUGCCCUACUGUCUCCAGCAUCACUUCAGUGAAAUUGAAUUCUCCGUGAAAAAUGCGGAGUUCCCGUGGUUAGACGGAUAGACCCCGUGC
RNAcentral lists this ribosomal RNA (525 nucleotides) under uncultured bacterium. RNAcentral describes it as "bacterial LSU rRNA". It matches the Rfam family "Bacterial large subunit ribosomal RNA", at positions 1555 to 2096 of the family's 2925-position model. The record is from RNAcentral.